Molecule: ribosomal RNA, 253 nt
Filed under: uncultured bacterium
Lineage: Bacteria
Description: partial 16S ribosomal RNA
Rfam family: Bacterial small subunit ribosomal RNA
Source: RNAcentral
UACGUAGGGGGCAAGCGUUGUCCGGAUUUAUUGGGCGUAAAGAGCGUGUAGGCGGCUAGGUAGGUCCGUUGUGAAAACUCGAGGCUCAACCUCGAGACGCCGGUGGAAACCAUCUAGCUAGAGUCCGGAAGAGGAGAGUGGAAUUCCUGGUGUAGCGGUGAAAUGCGCAGAUAUCAGGAAGAACACCCGUGGCGAAGGCGGCUCUCUGGUACGUGACUGACGCUGAGGUGCGAAAGCGUGGGGAGCAAGCAGG